Molecule: unclassified non-coding RNA, 440 nt
Filed under: Hevea brasiliensis (rubber tree)
Lineage: Eukaryota; Viridiplantae; Streptophyta; Magnoliopsida; Malpighiales; Euphorbiaceae
Source: RNAcentral
AAAAAAAAAAAAGAAAAGGAAAAAGAUGAUAGUCCCUUCCAUAUACAAAUGUAAUCCAUUUUUCUCUAAUAUUUUAUUUUGUGAACUGGAUUUCUAUUGCAACUUUAUGUUUGUUUUAGGUUUAUUUUAGAGGGAUACGGAUUCACAUUUAUCUGUUCUGAGUUUUAAGCACAAUUCUACUAAAGUUUUGCUUCGGCUGUCAAUAAUUCAAUGGUAAUAGUUUCCCAUUGACCAACUCCUAGGGAUUAAGGCUAGAGAUUUGAACAUCAACCAAUAACCAAUUUUGUUCAGGAUUUUUUUUGUAUGAAUCAUCAUCUAAUGUUCACCUUAAAUUGUGAACUACAUAUUAUCUACUUAUUAUUUUGUUUAAUCUGCGCUUGUUUGCCUUCAGUUUGUAAAAUGUCUCUUGCUAGAACUGCAUUAUUAUUAUUAUUAUUAUU